This 332-nucleotide ribosomal RNA is filed under the name uncultured bacterium. Its description in RNAcentral is "bacterial SSU rRNA". It matches the Rfam family "Bacterial small subunit ribosomal RNA", at positions 568 to 898 of the family's 1533-position model. The record is from RNAcentral.
CGUGUAGGCGGGAAAGAAAGUCAGAAGUGAAAUCCCAUGGCUUAACUGUGGAGCUGCUUCUGAAACUUCUUUUCCUGAGUGCUGGAGAGGAAAGUGGAAUUCCAAGUGUAGCGGUGAAAUGCGUAGAGAUUUGGAGGAACACCAGUGGCGAAGGCGGCUUUCUGGACAGUAACUGACGCUGAGGCGCGAAAGCGUGGGGAGCAAACAGGAUUAGAUACCCUGGUAGUCCACGCUGUAAACGAUGGAUACUAGGUGUAGGAGGUAUCGACCCCUUCUGUGCCGGAGUUAACACAAUAAGUAUCCCACCUGGGGAGUACGGCCGCAAGGUUGAA